RNAcentral lists this ribosomal RNA (550 nucleotides) under uncultured Chlorophyta. Its description in RNAcentral is "SSU rRNA". It matches the Rfam family "Eukaryotic small subunit ribosomal RNA", at positions 506 to 1065 of the family's 1831-position model. The record is from RNAcentral. Lineage: Eukaryota; Viridiplantae; Chlorophyta.
UAAUUGGAAUGAAUAGAAUUUAAAUCCCUUUACGAGUAUCAAUUGGAGGGCAAGUCUGGUGCCAGCAGCCGCGGUAAUUCCAGCUCCAAUAGCGUAUAUUUAAGUUGUUGCAGUUAAAAAGCUCGUAGUUGGAUUUCGGUUGCGAACGACCGGUCCGCCGUUUGGUGUGCACUGGUUGGUUGCAGCUUCCUGUAGAGGACACGCUCUGGGGUUAACGCUUCGGACGUGGAGUCUACGUGGUUACUUUGAAAAAAUUAGAGUGUUCAAAGCGGGCUUACGCUUGAAUAUUUCAGCAUGGAAUAACACUAUAGGACUCCUGUCCUAUUUCGUUGGUCUCGGGACGGGAGUAAUGAUUAAGAGGAACAGUUGGGGGCAUUCGUAUUUCAUUGUCAGAGGUGAAAUUCUUGGAUUUAUGAAAGACGAACUUCUGCGAAAGCAUCUGCCAAGGAUGUUUUCAUUAAUCAAGAACGAAAGUUGGGGGCUCGAAGAUGAUUAGAUACCAUCCUAGUCUCAACCAUAAACGAUGCCGACUAGGGAUUGGCGGAUGUUA